Long non-coding RNA from Lucilia sericata (common green bottle fly), 466 nucleotides. RefSeq lists it as uncharacterized. NCBI's taxonomy places the organism in Eukaryota, Metazoa, Arthropoda, Insecta, Diptera, Calliphoridae. The record is from RefSeq and is a predicted model, not a curated record. The transcript has 2 exons.
CAGAUUUCUGUUUUCAGUCGUCAAUUUUGUACAAAACUAUAACAGGCAUUUACUUUUACUCAAUUAUUCUGCAAUUAAAGAGAGAAAGAGGAAAGAAAGAGUAAAUACCGUAAAAUUAGCCGUAUUCAAUUGUAAACCUACUGACAAUUUUGAGUCGGUCAGUGGCUUUAAUCUAGUCACCUUUAAACAGGCUGCAUACAUAUCACUAAGGACUCAUAGAAACGAUGACAAGGGCCACAACACAACACUGAGAAUACGUUUAGCCCUUAACAAGCGAUACCGCUAGGGUCUCGUGUUAAACAUUUUAUAGAAAUAAACUAUAAAAUAUUAUUAUCUGCUACCACUAAAAGUUCAACAAACACCUGAGCUCUUUAUUUGUAGUUAUUUAACAUUUUUAUCUAAAAUGUACUUUGUUCCUAAUAGCAUGAUAUACUUUAUUAUAAAAAUAAAAACUUUGAUAACAAUA